RNAcentral lists this non-coding RNA (21 nucleotides) under Caenorhabditis elegans. The record is from RNAcentral. Lineage: Eukaryota; Metazoa; Nematoda; Chromadorea; Rhabditida; Rhabditidae.
UGUCAUUGCUUGGCCUCCAGA